Molecule: ribosomal RNA, 477 nt
Filed under: uncultured organism
Description: partial 16S ribosomal RNA
Rfam family: Bacterial small subunit ribosomal RNA
Source: RNAcentral
UACACUCCUACGGGAGGCAGCAGUGGGGAAUAUUGCACAAUGGGCGCAAGCCUGAUGCAGCCAUGCCGCGUGUAUGAAGAAGGCCUUCGGGUUGUAAAGUACUUUCAGCGGGGAGGAAGGCAAUACGGUUAAUAACCGUGUUGAUUGACGUUACCCGCAGAAGAAGCACCGGCUAACUCCGUGCCAGCAGCCGCGGUAAUACGGAGGGUGCAAGCGUUAAUCGGAAUUACUGGGCGUAAAGCGCACGCAGGCGGUCUGUCAAGUCGGAUGUGAAAUCCCCGGGCUCAACCUGGGAACUGCAUUCGAAACUGGCAGGCUUGAGUCUUGUAGAGGGGGGUAGAAUUCCAGGUGUAGCGGUGAAAUGCGUAGAGAUCUGGAGGAAUACCGGUGGCGAAGGCGGCCCCCUGGACAAGGACUGACGCUCAGGUGCGAAAGCGUGGGGAGCAAACAGGAUUAGAAACCCCGGUAGUCCCAUGA